Molecule: long non-coding RNA, 1624 nt
Organism: Amblyraja radiata (thorny skate)
Lineage: Eukaryota; Metazoa; Chordata; Chondrichthyes; Rajiformes; Rajidae
Exons: 2
Source: RefSeq, a predicted model, not a curated record
UAUCUCCUUUGUCUUGGGGAGAGGUGGUGGUCUUGACACCAUUUUACAACCCCCUCUAUCUGCAACAUUUACUCUGUCUCGUCAUUAUUCGAGACCCAUCUCUCUGGUGGUGUCAUCUGCAAUUGUGCACUCAAUGGGUUUGUAUCCAAAAAUGUGUUCAUUAUUUUCUGGGGGGGUGGCGGCAUUGUGGAUUUGCUGGUGAAUAAGGAGAUUUCACUUUUUUAACUACCAACUCUAUUUGUUAAAUAUUUCUUGACAAGUAAUGGGCUGGGGAUUAUACAGUUGCAACGUGUGGUCUUGUUUUCAACCACCCUCAUUCCUCGUGGGUCCCUGCAGGGGCUUCAUUGAACUGGUACAAGUACCGUGCCCCGCAUUUGGUAUUCUUACUAUGGCAGACAUAUUUCAGUAUGUUCCCACCUAUCUUUUGCCACCUUUCACAAUAAAUCAAAUCAAAUUGAUGGGAAUACGCGAGAGAAAAUAAGUUGCAGCAAUACAGAGAAAAUCAGGAGAUUCAAAAUGGGACUAAUAGGAUUGCUUCUCUGGGAACCAGCAUGGAACUGAUGGACAGAAUGGCCUUUAAAAAAAAAAAUCUUUAUAAGAGUGCAUAUUUUGCUUGCUUUCUUGUUUCUAGUUGUAGAUAUUUUGCUUGACUAUCAAAAAGUGCUAAUUUACUUGCAAAAAUAAAUAUUCAGACCAAAUGUGAAUGAAAAGCAAAUAUUUAAAAUUCUGAUUUACCAUAUUACAUAAAAUUGACCAUUAUAUUAAAAAAAGAAAGAAAUGCUUCCACAAAGGUUUAGAUGGUACUUGUUUACGAAAGAUGGAAUUAUCCGGUAGAUUGUAAUGUGCAUCAUCUGGUCUGUGGCCAGAGGUUUGGUGACACUAGAUUGUACAAGUCCACAGUUUACGACCUCAAGUGUAAAAGAUAUAUGUAUCGUCACAUGAAAUGGUUGUAAACAGCAUGUUUGAAUGACUUGAACUGAGCAGUGUGUUGUUCCAGCAAUGGGGAAAUGUUCUUAUGUUCCUCACAUUUGGCCUUUGGUUGCAGCAGAAUGAACUAAAUGAGUGCUGAAGUGUUCAUCAUUUGCCUUCCUUACCUGGUCUGGCCUCUGUGCAGUAUGGUUGACUCUUCUAAAGCGGGACAGUCGUGAUUUGUUUGAAACCAAUUCAACAGUUCAACACGAAGGCCCACCAUCUUACAUGGUCCCUUGGGAUUGUGGAUGAGCUGCUUCCACUCUGGCUCUGAGGAGGCUCAUGAGGGCACUAUAGGAACGCCAAGCUCUUCCGCGGGUGGGCCAAGGGUUGGUUGGUGGGGCAGGUGGGCAUUGCAUGUAUUGUCUGCUUCUUUUGUAGAGACUCAGUGUGCUCCCGAUGUGUGGCCCUGGGAUAGAGCUAGAAAGGAGCAUAAUCACAUUAGCUUGUCGCCAGUUAUUUUAGCACUGUGAAACUAUUCUAUAACAAUAUGGUAAAUGAUUUCCCUAAUUUGUUUGAUCUACUGGUUAUAUUUCGUUAGAGUAUAUUAAAUGCAACUUUUGCACUGUGAUUGCUUGCUAUUAAUUUUGUUCAUGAAGAUCGCUGAAAAAUUGUAAUUAUGCUGAAGUAUUGCAAUAAAAUUAUUGAAAAAUUA